UUGUGUUCAUCACCCUGCUCAGCAGCUAAUGUCUUGUAGCCAUUAGGGCUACAAGGUGCGCCUCCCUUAAGGAGCUGACUGUCCUUCCAGAACUGGCCUGCAGGAACAGACUUCUGUUAGGCAGAGGGCCACCGCAGCUCUGCAUAUCCCAGUCAGACAGGGGAAAGUGACAACCACAAUAGUACAAGGAAUGAACCAAGGGAAACGGGAGGCCAGAGGAGAUGGAGUGCAUCAAUCGACCCUUGACUACUGGACUCUGCGGAAAUGCCUCGGCUCUUCAACCGGAAGCAGAAACUGACCGCUGAGGACGCCGCCUAACGGCCUGCUAGAGCAAAACCAUGCCUGAAAGAACCACCACGCCGGAAAGGACCAGGCUGCUUCCGGUGAGAGCCCGAAGGAGAAAAGCCUCAGAGGGCGGGUCUCAAGGAUCAGUUUGUGCUGCGCGCCCGGCUCCGCGACGUUGCAUGCCCACUUUUGCGCAGGCGCGGGGCGACUGCUUUUGCGAACGCGUACGCAAACGCGUGCGUGCGCGCGCUCGCUCAGCAUUCGGCGCGAGACUGCUGUUUCGAGGGUAAAUCCUUUGAGCUGUAACUGGGCUUUUGUUUUCUAAACUACAACUCCCAGCAUGCUUCGACCCUCACAUUGAUACUAGGUGUGGCUUCUCAGGAUAGGGUAAAGAUAACCUUAAGGGACGAUGACGUACCAUGGAGAAAAAAAAUUGAACAUGUUGUUUGAGCGUCUCACUUGCAGAAGCCCCAGUGGCCUAAUGGAUAAGGCAUUGGCCUCCUAAGCCAGGGAUUGUGGGUUCGAGUCCCAUCUGGGGUG
Non-coding RNA from Ictidomys tridecemlineatus (thirteen-lined ground squirrel), 825 nucleotides. The record is from RefSeq and is a predicted model, not a curated record. Lineage: Eukaryota; Metazoa; Chordata; Mammalia; Rodentia; Sciuridae.